UUGGACAGUGCUGCUCUAGAUGAGCAAAGUACAGGCUGUAUCACUCAUCAUGUAUGGUCAGCUCCUAAAAUAACUGUAGACACACAGGAAGCUUUUGCGUCCACACUGCCUUAGAAGGUCAUGAACAUUUUUAAUAAGAUUGAUUUAAAAAGGCAGAGCUUAAUUGAAAAAUGUUGAUGAUCACGAAAUGAAGGAUCCAUAGUGUCAUUUCCUUAGAAGGCUUAGAUUUGUCACUGAAACACGGUGAAAAGCCAUUUUGCCAUAGAAUUUCUGUGCUCUGGGAAAAUGAAAGGUUUAUUAAAGUACAUUAAAAAUCUUACAAUCUGGCUAGGUGAAGUGGAUCACACCUGUAACCCCAUCACUUUGGGAGCCCUGAGGUGGGAGGAUUGCUUGAGCCUGGGGGAGCCUGCUGCAAUGCACUGCACUCCAGCCUAGGACAGAAAGCAAAAAAAAAGAAAACACCCCAUUACUUCAUUUUCAUGUAUAAAAAAAAUACCUAAUGAGCAAGUUGGCAAGACUUAAUUCCAGCUUUUAAAAUAAGGCUGUCAAUCUUAUUCCUGUAGUCUUCCCUGAUUGUAAUGUGCUCUCAUUCUGUGAUGUUUUCCAAAGGAUUUUUCAAAGGAAAGCCAAACCUUAUUACUUUGCUGUAACUGAAGUAAAUUAACUUCAAGUUUUGCAGGCCCCCCCCACCCCUUGGCUCCAGAUUUAUGUUCAAUCUAGUAACAAAACAUUUUCUAGGCUGGCUGCAGUGGCUCACGCCUAUAAUCCCGGCACUUUGGGAGGCUGAGGAGGGUGGAUCACCUGAGGUCAGGAGUUCAGGACCAGCCUGGCCAACAUGGUAAAACCCCACCUCUACUAAAAAUACAAAAAUUAGCUGGGUGCGGUGGUACGCCUGUAAUCCCAGUUACAUGGGAGGUGGAGGUGGGAGAAUUGCUUGAACCUGGGGGGCAGAGGCUCUGGCAGUGAGCCGAGAUUGUGCCACUGCACCCAGUUUAGGCAACAGAGCAAGAUCCUGUCUCAAAAAAACAAACAAAAAAAAUUUCUAAUAUUUUAAUAUUUU
RNAcentral lists this long non-coding RNA (1060 nucleotides) under Homo sapiens (human). RNAcentral describes it as "HSALNT0196230". The record is from RNAcentral. Lineage: Eukaryota; Metazoa; Chordata; Mammalia; Primates; Hominidae.